AACAGUUUCCUCAGUUAUUCAAAUGAGUCUACUGUCUCAGGUGGAAGACGGCAAUACCAUUUUAGAGCUCUGCCAGAGAGGGUGGAGGGGAAGAGAAGACAUCGCUCUUCGUCGGUGUGCAUUUGAUAUGCCAUGGUGGACUUAAAAAGGUUAAGGUGUUCAAUUGGGUCAUCCCUUCCAGUAUAUAGUUGUAAACCAAGCUUUUGUUUUGUCUUCACUUGAAGGAGGUGUCGAGGAUCGUCCUUGUGAGAGGGCCAGGCCUGGGUUGGUUCCAGUCAGGUAUAUCGGCCUGACGUUCGGCCUUCAACUUGUGUUUCUCAUAUUGCUCCUAGAAAACCUCAUUCUUCAAAGAGUAUGCCUAGUUUCAUGGAGCGUCUCAAAGAGUUUCUCAUAUUGCUCCUAGAAAACCUCAUUCUUCAUUGCUAUCUUAUUAUUC
RNAcentral lists this long non-coding RNA (436 nucleotides) under Malus domestica (apple). RNAcentral's name for it is "long non-coding RNA (MDOM_LNC007741)". Lineage: Eukaryota; Viridiplantae; Streptophyta; Magnoliopsida; Rosales; Rosaceae. The record is from RNAcentral.